GCUUACAGCCAUACCACCCUGAGCACGCUUGAUCUUGUUUGAUCUUGGAAGCUAAGGAGGGUUGGGCUUGGUUAGUACUUGGAUGGGAGACCGCCCGGGAAUACCAGGUGCUGUAGGGG
This is a ribosomal RNA of Oreochromis aureus, 119 nucleotides long. NCBI's taxonomy places the organism in Eukaryota, Metazoa, Chordata, Actinopteri, Cichliformes, Cichlidae. The record is from Ensembl.